GUAAUUGAUGAGUUGCUGGAUGAACUGCAUGGAGCUCAAUGGUUCAUAAAACUUGAUCUUAGGGCUGGAUAUCAUCAAAUCAGACUAGCUCCUGGUGAAGAAUAUAAGACUGCAUUUAAAACACAUCAUGGUCACUUUGAAUUCAAAGUGGUGGGCUAUGGUCUUACUGGUGCACCUAACACAUUUCAGGGAGCCAUGAAUGUUACAUUAUCUCAGGAACCAGAAAUGUUGAGAUUUUUUGUGUUAGUAUUCUUUGAUGAUAUUCUUAUAUUCAGUAAAACUCUGAAACAACAUCUUCAACAUGUCAGAAGAGUGCUACAAGUAUUAAGGAGAGAUCAGUGGUAUGUCAAAAUGUCCAAGUGUGAGUUUGCAUCU
This 375-nucleotide ribosomal RNA is filed under the name Triticum aestivum (bread wheat). Its description in RNAcentral is "partial small subunit ribosomal RNA". Lineage: Eukaryota; Viridiplantae; Streptophyta; Magnoliopsida; Poales; Poaceae. The record is from RNAcentral.